Molecule: ribosomal RNA, 775 nt
Filed under: uncultured Neocallimastigales
Lineage: Eukaryota; Fungi; Neocallimastigomycota; Neocallimastigomycetes; Neocallimastigales
Description: partial large subunit ribosomal RNA
Rfam family: Eukaryotic large subunit ribosomal RNA
Source: RNAcentral
UAUCUCUGUAGAGUCUGCAUAUCAAUAAGCGGAGGAAAAGAAACUAACUAGGAUUCCCUCAGUAACGGCGAGUGAAGCGGGAAGAGCUCAAAUUUGAAGUCUUCAAGGUUCUACCUUGACGAAUUGUAGUUUAAAGAAGUGUUUUCUGUUGGAGUUUUGGUAAAAGUUCUUUGGAAUAGGACAUCAUAGAGGGUGAGAAUCCCGUAUUUGACCAUUAUUUCCAGCUUUGUGAUACACUUUCAAAGAGUCGGAUUGUUUGGGAAGUGCAGUCCAAAAUGGGUGGUAAAUUUCAUCUAAAGCUAAAUACUGGCGAGAGACCGAUAGCGAACAAGUACCGUGAGGGAAAGAUGAAAAGAACUUUGAAAAGAGAGUUAAACAGUACGUGAAAUUGUCAAAAGGGAAGCGUUUGACACCAGUGUUGUUUUCUCGAAAAUCAAUUAAAAAAGGCAGGAUUUUGUGUUGUAUUGACUUUAUCAGCUUUCUGCACUCUUUUCUUGUCUUUUUUAAUGCACUUUUCGUUUAACAAGUCAACAUCAAUUUCUUUUGUUGUAAAAGGGUCAUUGGAAGGUGGCUUUCUUUUCGGAGAAAGUGUUUAUAGCCUUUGGCCUCUGCAAUCGGAGAGAUUGAGGUCUGCAGCGUAGAUCCUUCGGGGUUAGAUACAUUUGUGCUAAGUUAUAGCCUUUCAUAGACAACUUGUUGACUAUGAUCAGUCAUGUAGCUUACUCGCUUAUGCUAUUUUACCUACGCUUAGGAUGUUGAAGAUGUAGCACAUCAU